GGGCACACCCCUUCUCCUUUUGCCGUCACAUUUAGUUGGGCAUUUUAGGGAGACCGCCGGUGAAAAACCGGGGGAAGGUGGGGAUGAAGUCAAGUUCCCAGGGCCCUUUAGUCUGGGGUUAACACAGUGUUCCAAUGGCCGGUCAAAAGGGUGGCAAACCCGGAGGGGGGAGCCAAUCCUAAAAACCCGUUCUCAGUUCGGAUGGCGUUCUGCAAUUGGCUUCCAUGAAGUUGAAUCGCU
This 240-nucleotide ribosomal RNA is filed under the name uncultured soil bacterium. Its description in RNAcentral is "partial 16S ribosomal RNA". It matches the Rfam family "Bacterial small subunit ribosomal RNA", at positions 1094 to 1336 of the family's 1533-position model. The record is from RNAcentral.